UACGGAGGGUGCAAGCGUUGCUCGGAAUCAUUGGGCGUAAAGCGUACGCAGGCUGUUCGUUAAGUCGGGUGUGAAAGCCCAGGGCUCAACCCUGGAAUGGCGCCCGAAACUGGCGAGCUUGAGUGCGGGAGAGGGAAGCGGAAUUCCUGGUGUAGAGGUGAAAUUCGUAGAUAUCAGGAGGAACACCGGUGGCGAAAGCGGCUUCCUGGCCCGACACUGACGCUCAUGUACGAAAGCGUGGGGAGCAAACAGG
This 253-nucleotide ribosomal RNA is filed under the name uncultured bacterium. RNAcentral's name for it is "partial 16S ribosomal RNA". It matches the Rfam family "Bacterial small subunit ribosomal RNA", at positions 524 to 776 of the family's 1533-position model. The record is from RNAcentral. RNAcentral also lists the same sequence under 1 other name.